This 762-nucleotide ribosomal RNA is filed under the name Salmonella enterica subsp. enterica serovar Bovismorbificans. RNAcentral describes it as "partial 23S ribosomal RNA". It matches the Rfam family "Bacterial large subunit ribosomal RNA", at positions 1 to 794 of the family's 2925-position model. The record is from RNAcentral. Lineage: Bacteria; Pseudomonadati; Pseudomonadota; Gammaproteobacteria; Enterobacterales; Enterobacteriaceae.
GGGUUGUGAGGUUAAGCGACUAAGCGUACACGGUGGAUGCCCUGGCAGUCAGAGGCGAUGAAGGGCGUGCUAAUCUGCGAUAAGCGCCGGUAAGGUGAUAUGAACCGUUAUAACCGGCGAUACCCGAAUGGGGAAACCCAGUGUGACUCGUCACACUAUCAUUAACUGAAUCCAUAGGUUAAUGAGGCGAACCGGGGGAACUGAAACAUCUAAGUACCCCGAGGAAAAGAAAUCAACCGAGAUUCCCCCAGUAGCGGCGAGCGAACGGGGAGGAGCCCAGAGCCUGAAUCAGCAUGUGUGUUAGUGGAAGCGUCUGGAAAGGCGCGCGAUACAGGGUGACAGCCCCGUACACAAAAGCGCAUGUGCUGUGAGCUCGAUGAGUAGGGCGGGACACGUGGUAUCCUGUCUGAAUAUGGGGGGACCAUCCUCCAAGGCUAAAUACUCCUGACUGACCGAUAGUGAACCAGUACCGUGAGGGAAAGGCGAAAAGAACCCCGGCGAGGGGAGUGAAAAAGAACCUGAAACCGUGUACGUACAAGCAGUGGGAGCACAGGUUUACCUGUGUGACUGCGUACCUUUUGUAUAAUGGGUCAGCGACUUAUAUUCUGUAGCAAGGUUAACCGAAUAGGGGAGCCGGAGGGAAACCGAGUCUUAAUUGGGCGUUAAGUUGCAGGGUAUAGACCCGAAACCCGGUGAUCUAGCCAUGGGCAGGUUGAAGGUUGGGUAACACUAACUGGAGGACCGAACCGACUAAUGUUGAAA